This 293-nucleotide unclassified non-coding RNA is filed under the name uncultured fungus. RNAcentral's name for it is "partial contains small subunit ribosomal RNA, internal transcribed spacer 1, and 5.8S ribosomal RNA". The stretch from base 1 to 73 matches the Rfam family "Eukaryotic small subunit ribosomal RNA", at positions 1759 to 1831 of the family's 1831-position model. Lineage: Eukaryota; Fungi. The record is from RNAcentral.
GCAAACUUGGUCAUUUAGAGGAAGUAAAAGUCGUAACAAGGUCUCCGUUGGUGAACCAGCGGAGGGAUCAUUACAAGAGAGUUGCAAAACUCCCUGAAACCCUUUGUGAACAUUGCCCGUCAGUAGUACCUACGGCAGGUUCUCCCCUGGGAGGGGGGUCUUAUGCCUGCCGAAAGGACCAACACAAACUCUUUCAUGGCGUUCUACGCCGCUGUUAUCUGAGUAACUAAAAAAAUCAAAUUAAAACUUUCAACAACGGAUCUCUUGGUUCUGGCAUCGAUGAAGAACGCAGC